GGAUCGCAGGGCCGAGGGGCCGGGCGCGCGCCGGGGAGGACCCAGGCCGGGGGCCGCUCGCCGCCGGGCGGGGUCACUGGAGAGCGCGCCGAGGGGAUGCUUCGUAAAUGCCCGCAGCCUGAAGGAAGUCGUUGAUCUCCGCCCCCUUCGCCAAAGCCCGGCCAGGCGAGUAAGGGCGCGGCCUGAGCCCCUGCGGUGAUUCCCCAGAUCACCAGUCAUGGGAGGUGGAAGGGUGGAGAAUGAGCCCAUUUUGGAAGAGAGACUGGAACCAAUUAUGAGUAGAUAAGGCCAUGGGAGUCUGCUGGAGUAUGGUGGAACCGGAGGAUUGCAGGACUCUCAACUUACGGAGAAGACAUGUGUUGGCAGGAAGUAUUCUGGGAAGAGUUUUGCUGUAUCUCUGGAAGGAAGAAGAUUGUUUCCCAUUGGGGGAUGGCACUUUCAACAUGUGGGAGCUUGUCGUGUCACAGAAGAAUGACAGGUGAGCUUCAGUGAUGCUCCUGGUGACUAAUGCUGAGGUUAAGAAUGCAGCUGUAAAGAGCUCUCUAAAAAGCAUGGAUCAGACAAUUUUAUCUUAUUAAUUCAAAACCUUCAACAAUGAAAGCUUAUGAUUGCAAGAAUAAUCUUUGUUUCUGCAAUGAUUUGAUGGGGCAAAAGGGAACUAAUCCUUAAAUGGAUGGUUUUUUAAAACUGUAAGGCAGGUGAAAUCUCAGUAAAAGACAAACUCUCUCCCACCUUGCCCACAUUGCCUC
Molecule: non-coding RNA, 749 nt
Organism: Chlorocebus sabaeus (green monkey)
Lineage: Eukaryota; Metazoa; Chordata; Mammalia; Primates; Cercopithecidae
Source: RefSeq, a predicted model, not a curated record